Long non-coding RNA from Spea bombifrons (plains spadefoot toad), 444 nucleotides. RefSeq lists it as uncharacterized. The transcript is spliced from 3 exons. NCBI's taxonomy places the organism in Eukaryota, Metazoa, Chordata, Amphibia, Anura, Pelobatidae. The record is from RefSeq and is a predicted model, not a curated record.
GAAAAGCAGUGUUCAGUCCAACCACAGGGAGCUGGUGUGUGUGCACUAAACUAUUAGUUUGGCGCAAAACAGGAUGGAUAUAAAAUACGUUUUGGUUGAUUUCUUCACUGACAACACUGUCCAUAUAUGUGAAGUAUCACAAUUAAAACACAAAGACAUGAAAAAACUACACCCCAAGGCCAUUCACAAGUGGGACAAAAGAGAAGAAUUAUAUGUUUUUUGGAAGAAAAGUUUCUCAGGCGAGCCAGAGCGUUGGCCUUGUCGAGUCAUCCAGUUUAGCGGAGAGCGUCAACCCCUAAUUGAUCUGAGGAACAAAAUUGAAAAGGGGUGUCCCUUGGACAGUAUACCCCUCUUUGCAACAGAGGAAGCAUUAGGAAAGGGGAGAAGAGAAAAAGUGAAAAGGAACUCAGCAGAUGUUGACGAGACUUCUUUAAUGGACAUGGU